UACGAAGGGGGCUAGCGUUGCUCGGAAUCACUGGGCGUAAAGCGCACGUAGGCGGCUUUCUAAGUCAGGGGUGAAAUCCUGGAGCUCAACUCCAGAACUGCCUUUGAUACUGGAGAGCUUGAGUCCGGGAGAGGUGAGUGGAACUCCGAGUGUAGAGGUGAAAUUCGUAGAUAUUGGGAAGAACACCAGUGGCGAAGGCGGCUCACUGGCCCGCAACUGACGCUGAGGCGCGAAAGCGUGGGGAGCAAACAGG
Molecule: ribosomal RNA, 253 nt
Filed under: uncultured bacterium
Lineage: Bacteria
Description: partial 16S ribosomal RNA
Rfam family: Bacterial small subunit ribosomal RNA
Source: RNAcentral